GUUUAGUCGUAAACUUAGUGCCGCCAGGAUACUACGAGCAACUGCUUAAAAACCAAAGGACCUGGCGGUGCUUUACUCCCCCUAGAGGAGCCUGUUUCCUAACCGAUAAUCCCCGUUCUACCUCACCCCUUCUCGUCAGCCUAUAUACCGCCGUCUUCAGUCUACCUUUCAAAGAACAAUAUUAGGCAAAAUAUCAACCUCCCCUCAAAACGUCAGGUCGAGGCGUAGCCAAUGAAGGGGUACAAAAUGGGCUACAUUCCCUCGAGUGCUGAAAGAAGGAGGAUUUAGAAGUAAGUAAGUUCAGAGUAGCCUACUGAAAUCGGCACUAAAGCAUGC
RNAcentral lists this ribosomal RNA (336 nucleotides) under Opsanus pardus (leopard toadfish). RNAcentral describes it as "partial 12S ribosomal RNA". The record is from RNAcentral. Lineage: Eukaryota; Metazoa; Chordata; Actinopteri; Batrachoidiformes; Batrachoididae.